This is a non-coding RNA of Peromyscus maniculatus bairdii (prairie deer mouse), 1046 nucleotides long. The record is from RefSeq and is a predicted model, not a curated record. Lineage: Eukaryota; Metazoa; Chordata; Mammalia; Rodentia; Cricetidae.
UGUCUCCCACACUCCCUGUGAGUAACCCUUCACCUAGGCACCUAUAAAUGAGAUCUGCAAACUCGUUGGUUCGCCCUCUGGACUUGGCAUCUUUUCCUCGUCUGCUGUUGGUGCCAUGUCUGGGGAGAACAAGCAUUUGUUCAUUGUCCAUCACUUUCUCAUCUCCCUGGGGGAAGUCCUGUAGCACAAAAUGUAUCUCCAAUGACCUAUUUCCAAAUUGUAUCCUAUGAUAAAGUUUCUGGGAAGGAUGUGAAUUUAUUUGAAGGGGUUGUUAUUUAACCCCGUACACACCCCCAACACAUGGUGAGUUCUCCUCUGGUCAAACAGAAUGAAAACAAUGAGGUGGUCCAGUGAAGAAAGGCUCAGUAAGUCCUGUUAGGAUCCAAUCCAUUCCCCCAUCUACUUGAACGUCGUUCAAGGGGGCUCUAGAAAACGAUCACCUCCAUUCACCUUGGAGGACCAAGGCUUAUUAAAAAUGGGGAUUUCUGGGCUAGACUCCAGUUGCACUGGGUCAGAACCGCUAAGUGUAGAAGCCAGGAAGGUGUAUUUUAACCAAUAGUGGAGGGAGUCUAUCCCCAUGGAAAUUUGAGAAGCACCGAUCUACAGUGUCAGACAGGUCUGUCUUAUAGCUCCCUGAGGAGCCUCUCAGAUCCAUCCCUCAUCUUCCCUUCUUUACAGGUGAAAUUGAGAACAGCUGGUCAACGGAUUUUCUUAUAUUUGAGCAUGAUUAUAGAGGACCAUAGACAACCCUUUGGUCAUGAAAAGGGCUAUCCCUGUUUCAUGUGUCAGGCGAGGAAAAAACCUGAGUCCCAAAGAAGUCAUGGGAAAGACAGCGCAUUCAAAUGUACCAGAGAACAAGAUCAGAAACAUAUAGACUGGGAAGCGCCACUGUCUGAAGUUGGAAGCCCAGGAAAGCUGAAGAACCAGCAUGCCUGCAGAAUGCAGCUGGGUCCGAGGUGAUGGCAGCGGUGUCUGUAGCAACAGGAGCAGUGACAAUCUGAGCACAGGAGUCACAUGGGAAGAGGAAGCGUCUGGCAGGAGUGUGG